RNAcentral lists this unclassified non-coding RNA (212 nucleotides) under Hevea brasiliensis (rubber tree). The record is from RNAcentral. Lineage: Eukaryota; Viridiplantae; Streptophyta; Magnoliopsida; Malpighiales; Euphorbiaceae.
AAACCAAACACCCACCCUUUCCCCUCUCUCUCUCUCUUCAACAAUGGAGGCCAAGAUUGAUCAACAAGAAUUCAUUUUCCGCUCCAAGCUCCCAGAUAUCUACAUCCCAAAUCACCUUCCUUUACACACAUAUUGCUUCGAAAAAGUUUCCCAAUUCAAAGACAAUCCUUGCUUGAUCAAUGGCGCUACUGGCGAUAUCUACACUUACGCCG